This is a non-coding RNA of Centrocercus urophasianus (Greater sage-grouse), 1824 nucleotides long. Lineage: Eukaryota; Metazoa; Chordata; Aves; Galliformes; Phasianidae. The record is from the annotation of a RefSeq genome assembly.
AACAGACCUAUAUAAGUAAGUUCCUUACCGAGGCAUGCUCUCUGCUUUCUCAGUCAGAAAUGAGAACGUGGACAGUGUGGUGCUUGGUCUUGUCCUUCUUUGGAGCAAGAGCUAAGAUAACACAAAACUCAAGUCUGGUACUGAAAGAAGAUGAGAGUGCUACCCUGGGAUGCAGUCAAAAUGACAAUCACAAUAAUAUGUACUGGUAUCUGCAGCAGCCAGGAGAAGGGCUGCAGUUAAUCUAUUAUUCGUUCGGACCAAAUCAGGAAUAUAAAGGUGAUAUUCACGCUGGAUUCGAAGCUAAGCGGAUAAGCCGAGAAUACUUUCGUUUAGAUAUCAUGUCUGUGAAGAAGAACCAUUCAGCUACCUAUUUCUGUGCCUCAAAUUUGAACACAACACUUCAAAGUCACAUGCCUUCUGUACAUAAACUCCUCUCCAGUACCUUUCCUCAGAAGGGAGUAGCUUCAGCACAGGGUCAUGGUGUGUAGGUCAAGUGGCUACUCACAAAACAUAGGCUGCUGAGGAGCUGGUCCAAGAGAGGUCAAGCAGGUUCCGUUUCAUUGCUGAAUUCCUCUUUUCUGAUCAGCAGUUCACCCUCUAUCAGUCAUGACAGUUCUUAAAGUUUGUCAAUCAAAUCCAGACAUACAAUGAUACUCACUGUGCCUGGAAAGGUUGUCCUGAUAUCAAGCACUGAUAUAUAUUUUUAUUCAGAAAUUGGUGUUUUUAUUCAGAAAUUGCUUGCACAGUCCAGAUUUCUGCUGCAUGAAGCAUCAGUUUUAUACAUGCUACAUCUAUCCAUUUAUUCCUCAAACCUAUGUCUUUGCUGCAGCUUGAUAAGCUGUAAGACAAUUUCUGUCCAUUUAGUUUACUCCUUCCAUCCAUGGAUGAGUUGUGAGCACAUUUCUGGCAACCUUUGUGACGUUUCCUCUUGCAAGUUCUCAAAGUUCUCUUUUAUUUUGAGCAAGUCUUAAACAUCUGUUUUUUGAAGACAAAAAAAGUAGAAGGAGGAGCAAGCAGAAUGUGAUUUCAUUUACUGUGUGAUUUCUUGAUGGAAUGUUUCAUACAUGCACAAUGUAAAAUCACACACGAAUACCAAUCAGUGUCUUUCUUGUUAAGGAUCCUAAAGCAGUACCCCUCUCCCUGUGUCCUUCAUGCUGUUUAUUGCUGUUGAGGUGUAAGCGUUCAAUGAUGUAUUCCUAAAUUUUUACAAGCAAGAAAGCACCAAGCAAAGGUCUUGUGAUAUAUUGUAAAAUCCAACUGCAUAGUUCAAUAGUCCUGAAAUAAGCAAUAAGAAUAUUCUCUUUCCAGUCUGUAGUUUUUGAAGGGCUUAAAUAAAGGAUGUACAAUGACUACUCUGAAAAUAAUUUUUCCUUUUUUAAUAUGUUGUUCCACUACAUCAGAGUGAAAAUUAGGAGGUUAAACCUUCCUGCCUAUGUUCUGUUAUAUUUUUUUCCCUGUCACAGAUGGCAGCAGAGGGGCAGUAUGACAAAAUGAUAUCUGACAUGGAAUUGCAUAUGAAGCAACAGUAUGGAACCGAAUUCCUUCAUUAGGAAAAAAUUGCACCUGUUAACAUUCAUAGAAUCCUAGUCUGGUUUGGGUUGGAAGGGACCUAUUAAUCUAUUAAGAAGACCAAACAGUGUAUGUUAACACAGUGAAAGUCGGACUGUAAUGGGAUCUUUAUGCUAGCAACAAUAUCCUUGUGACAGCUGUGAAACAUUGGGUCACCUCUGCUGGUGCAGAUUUAUAUAAGUAAAGCAUGCAAACUCUUUUUUAUCACAGUGAAAAUGCAUAGCUGAUGGUGGUGGCUUUGCUGAAAAAAUAGUG